Long non-coding RNA from Perca flavescens (yellow perch), 704 nucleotides. RefSeq lists it as uncharacterized. NCBI's taxonomy places the organism in Eukaryota, Metazoa, Chordata, Actinopteri, Perciformes, Percidae. The record is from RefSeq and is a predicted model, not a curated record. The transcript is spliced from 3 exons.
AUUAACCCUCACUAGUCUAGAAUAGAAAGUACCGUUAGGUGUCGAGUUUGCGUUUGAUUAAAAAUAAAGCGCCAACUGUCCUGCCAACGCGUAGUGGACAGGUCUCUGGAAAAUAAACUUUAAGGUAAUUGUGAAGCAUGUCACUUCGAAAGAGAAAGUCGACAUUAUUUAAUUGAAAAAACCCUGUCACAGUUUAAUGUAGCUAAUACUUGGCUAACUAACGUUAUUUUCCCAGUGUUGCUAAUGCUAUCACAUAGCUAGCUAGCUUACUGACUAGCCAGCUAGUUGGCUAGCUCGCUAGCAGUCAUGGAGUGAAUUGAGUUCUUUCCAACAAAAUGACUAACACAGCAACAUUAUAUGGAUAUUUCACGGUCAUCAAAAAGAAAGGACAAUGGAUUUCUAACAUCAAAUAAGGUAUGGCACAUUGUGGAAAAAGUCCUCCUGUCCAAGAUAAACGAAAAUAAGACGUGUCCCUGCAGAUGUUUGCACCCUCAGCAUCACAUGCAGUCAGGAGAACAUCAGUGUUAGACGUCAUGUUUUGGUGUCAGCCCCUCUGAGUCAAAGAGCAAGGACUUCUUCAUACACUCACCGCUGUCACGCACGGAGGAGUCUGAUGCAGAGGACGGAGACAUUCCAAUUUCUGCACUGACCGUGCCUUCAAUAGACCAUACUGCAAUGGAGCCACAAGAUACAUUCUUUGGGAG